AACAAGGCGUACCUGCGGACCUGCGGAGGGAUCAUUACACAAUACAAUAUGAAGGCUGUCCGCAGCUGGGGUAUUUUAUUACCCUUGUCUUUUGCGCACUUGUUGUUUCCUGGGCGGGUUCGCUCGCCACCAGGACCACCAAAUAAACCUUUUUUAUGCAGUUGCAAUCAGCGUCAGUACAAACAAUGUAAAUCAUUUACAACUUUCAACAACGGAUCU
This 219-nucleotide unclassified non-coding RNA is filed under the name soil metagenome. RNAcentral describes it as "partial contains 5.8S ribosomal RNA, internal transcribed spacer 2, and large subunit ribosomal RNA". The record is from RNAcentral.